GACGAACGCUGGCGGCGUGCUUAAUACAUGCAAGUCGAACGGAAAGGCCCUGCUUUUGUGGGGUGCUCGAGUGGCGAACGGGUGAGUAUAACGUGAGUAAACUGCCCCUGACUUUGGGAUAAAUUCUGGAAAAUCGGGCUAUUACCGGAUAGAAGCUCCUGCUGCAUGGUGGGGGUUGGAAAGAUUCGGCGGUUCGGGAUGGACUCGCGGGUUAUCAGCUUGUUGGUCGGGUAGUGGUUUACCAAGGCUUUGAAGGGUAGCCCGCCUGAGAGGGUGACCGGGGACCAGGGUACUAAGAGACGGCCCAGACGCCUACCGGAGGCAACAGGGGAGAACCUGGCACAACGGGCGGAAGCCUGAGGCAGCGACGCCCGGUGCGUAAUAACGUCUUACUGGUUGUAAACCGCUGUCUCCGUUGCCGAAGCGGGAUUGACGGUAAUUGGUAAGGAAGCACCGGCUAACUACGUG
RNAcentral lists this ribosomal RNA (468 nucleotides) under uncultured bacterium. Its description in RNAcentral is "partial 16S ribosomal RNA". It matches the Rfam family "Bacterial small subunit ribosomal RNA", at positions 28 to 507 of the family's 1533-position model. The record is from RNAcentral.